AAUGUACUCCCUCCAUCUUAAAAUUCUUGUCUUAGAUUUGUCUAAAUACAGAUAUAUCUAGUUACGUUUUAGUGUUAGAUACAUCCGUAUGUAAAAAUCUAAGACAAGAAUUUUAGGACGAAGGGAGUAUCUA
Molecule: non-coding RNA, 133 nt
Organism: Triticum aestivum (bread wheat)
Lineage: Eukaryota; Viridiplantae; Streptophyta; Magnoliopsida; Poales; Poaceae
Source: Rfam